This is a long non-coding RNA of Pan troglodytes (chimpanzee), 187 nucleotides long. RefSeq lists it as uncharacterized. Lineage: Eukaryota; Metazoa; Chordata; Mammalia; Primates; Hominidae. The transcript has 2 exons. The record is from RefSeq and is a predicted model, not a curated record.
AAACAAUCCUGUGAGGAAUCAUUUUUCCAGAUGAAUAAUUUGAGACACAGAACGGUCAAGAAACUUGCCAAAGGCUACAGAUCUGGUGCUUGCCUGCUAUGCUGUCAAAGCUUUGUGAGCACUGUAAUGAGAACAAAAUGGAUGUCCUCAGAAUUAAAACCCCAAGUCAGUAAUGAUUGACCACAAA